GGAAUAUUGGACAAUGGGCGAAAGCCUGAUCCAGCAAUGCCGCGUGAGUGAUGAAGGCCCUAGGGUUGUAAAGCUCUUUUACCCGGGAUGAUAAUGACAGUACCGGGAGAAUAAGCUCCGGCUAACUCCGUGCCAGCAGCCGCGGUAAUACGGAGGGAGCUAGCGUUGUUCGGAAUUACGGGGCGUAAAGCGCGCGUAGGCGGCUGCUCAAGUCAGAGGUGAAAGCCCGGGGCUCAACCCCGGAAUAGCCUUUGAAACUAGGUGGCUAGAAUCUUGGAGAGGCGAGUGGAAUUCCGAGUGUAGAGGUGAAAUUCGUAGAUAUUCGGAAGAACACCAGUGGCGAAGGCGACUCGCUGGACAAGAAUUGACGCUGAGGUGCGAAAGCGUGGGGAGCAAA
Molecule: ribosomal RNA, 397 nt
Filed under: uncultured bacterium
Lineage: Bacteria
Description: bacterial SSU rRNA
Rfam family: Bacterial small subunit ribosomal RNA
Source: RNAcentral